RNAcentral lists this ribosomal RNA (87 nucleotides) under Triticum aestivum (bread wheat). RNAcentral's name for it is "partial small subunit ribosomal RNA". Lineage: Eukaryota; Viridiplantae; Streptophyta; Magnoliopsida; Poales; Poaceae. The record is from RNAcentral.
AUGUACCAUGUGCCGUUGCUCAGGUUAUGUCAUCGUAUUUUAGCUUGGCUUUGUUUACAGUACCUUAGCGGCUGUUGUUGCGAGUAA